AUUGAACGCUGGCGGCAGGCCUAACACAUGCAAGUCGAGCGGAUGAAGGGAGCUUGCUCCUGGAUUCAGCGGCGGACGGGUGAGUCAUGCCUAUGAAUCUGCCUGGUAGUGGGGGAUAACGUCCGGAAACGGGCGCUAAUACCGCAUACGUCCUGAGGGAGAAAGUGGGGGAUCUUCGGACCUCACGCUAUCAGAUGAGCCUAGGUCGGAUUAGCUAGUUGGUGGGGUAAUGGCCUACCAAGGCGACGAUCCGUAACUGGUCUGAGAGGAUGAUCAGUCACACUGAAAGUGAGAGACGGUACUGACUCCGACGGACGGCAGCAGUGGGUACUAUAGGACGAUGUGCGAAAGCCUGAACAAGCCAUGCAGCGUGGGUGAAGAAGGUCUUCGGAUUGGAAAACACCUUAAGUGGGGAAGAAGGCCAGCAAGUGAAUACCUUGUUGUUUUGACGGUACCAACAGAAUAAGCACCGGCUAACUUCGUG
Molecule: ribosomal RNA, 484 nt
Filed under: uncultured bacterium
Lineage: Bacteria
Description: partial 16S ribosomal RNA
Rfam family: Bacterial small subunit ribosomal RNA
Source: RNAcentral